AGUCGAGCGAACAGACGAGGAGCUUGCUUCUCUGACGUUAGCGGCGGACGGGUGAGUAACACGUGGAUAACCUACCUAUAAGACUGGGAUAACUUCGGGAAACCGGAGCUAAUACCGGAUAAUAUAUUGAACCGCAUGGUUCAAUAGUGAAAGACGGUUUUGCUGUCACUUAUAGAUGGAUCCGCGCCGCAUUAGCUAGUUGGUAAGGUAACGGCUUACCAAGGCAACGAUGCGUAGCCGACCUGAGAGGGUGAUCGGCCACACUGGAACUGAGACACGGUCCAGACUCCUACGGGAGGCAGCAGUAGGGAAUCUUCCGCAAUGGGCGAGAGCCUGACGGAGCAACACCGCGUGAGUGAUGAAGGUCUUCGGAUCGUAAAACUCUGUUAUUAGGGAAGAACAAAUGUGUAAGUAACUAUGCACGUCUUGACGGUACCUAAUCAGAAAGCCACGGCUAACUACGUGCCAGCAGCCGCGGUAAUACGUAGGUGGCAAGCGUUAUCCGGAAUUAUUGGGCGUAAAGCGCGCGUAGGCGGUUUUUUAAGUCUGAUGUGAAAGCCCACGGCUCAACCGUGGAGGGUCAUUGGAAACUGGAAAACUUGAGUGCAGAAGAGGAAAGUGGAAUUCCAUGUGUAGCGGUGAAAUGCGCAGUGAUAUGGAGGAACACCAGUGGCGAAGGCGA
RNAcentral lists this ribosomal RNA (682 nucleotides) under uncultured Staphylococcus sp. RNAcentral's name for it is "bacterial SSU rRNA". It matches the Rfam family "Bacterial small subunit ribosomal RNA", at positions 60 to 724 of the family's 1533-position model. The record is from RNAcentral. Lineage: Bacteria; Bacillati; Bacillota; Bacilli; Caryophanales; Staphylococcaceae.